AAUCCAUGAUGAGGGUAUUGAGCUUGGUAGCCUUUGAAUCUCUCCAAGGCUUCACUGAAUCCUUCCAAGCCUUUCUGUUGAAAGCUGGAGAUCUCAUUUCUCAGCUU
Brassica napus (rape) is the source of this 107-nucleotide non-coding RNA. The record is from Rfam. NCBI's taxonomy places the organism in Eukaryota, Viridiplantae, Streptophyta, Magnoliopsida, Brassicales, Brassicaceae.